Molecule: non-coding RNA, 1038 nt
Organism: Penaeus vannamei (Pacific white shrimp)
Lineage: Eukaryota; Metazoa; Arthropoda; Malacostraca; Decapoda; Penaeidae
Source: RefSeq, a predicted model, not a curated record
AUUUUAGGUGAAGGACUUGUGUCGUUGCACUAUUUCUAUGUGGUAAUUGGUAGCACGUUGGUCUUUCCGUCCACAGAGCUGGCAGUAUCAAGCAGGUGUGGUAGCGACACUGAAUGAACAGGGAGACGCAGCCCUUAAUGCAGUGCCUACGUACCUCCAGGCAAGUGACCUGGAGGACGCGGCAGCCUUGGCCAAGAGGGAACUGCGCUGGACCCUGGUCAGAACAAUGUCCACCACUGAGGAAGAUGAUAAUGGAAAUAACAGCACCUCUUAGAAGAAUGGUUGUGAAGUUUGUAUAUUAAAUAACAGUGGAAGGAAUUUUAUGAUGUUGCGUUAAUAUUAAUUGUGUUUUUAUAAACAGAUAUAUAUGUAUACAUGUAAGGAUUAUCAUGUGAAGUUGUCUUUUUGAUACAUGUUUCUUUGUCUCUUUGUCUUUUGUGGCAUUUGACUUGAUGUCAAAUGCAUUUUUGUUUUUUUUUACAGAUCUGUUGAUGUUAGAUGAUAUGUAUUGUAACAGAACUUGCCUUUUGUUUUUUAUUCAAUAACGUACACAAAUGAUCUAAAAUUCAGCUACAUUAUCAAGCCAGAAAUGUAACACACCACUAUAGUCAACAUAUACCACAGGUUGAGACUUUUAGUAUAAAAUAAAACAAAGUGAAAUUAAUUGAACCACAAAUCCAUAGAAAAUUACCUUCAGCAUAUUCACCACAAAAAAGCAGCCAUAACUGAUUGUCAUUGGCUGGCUUUCCCCUUGAAUCUCAUGUGUCUGGGCUUGAAAAGGGUCAGGGAUCCAAUUCAGAGCCUAGUUACAUACUCAGUAUUUCAUAGCUAUUUAUGAGGGAUUUACAUAAAGUAUAUAUAUUUAUAUCAUGUCCUUUUUUCUGUUUGGUGGAUAUGUUGAAGCUAAUAUGAUAUUGGGAAUGGCUGAUAUUGUAUGAUAAAUAAGCGGCUGUUUGUGUAUGGUAAAUAAGAUAUUUUUUGUUACAAAAUUAGGAUAACAUGUACUGAGACCCAAUAAUAAAUGCUGUUGCAAACAUU